AAGAGUAAAUCUUUGAAUAAUGC
RNAcentral lists this non-coding RNA (23 nucleotides) under Cricetulus griseus (Chinese hamster). The record is from RNAcentral. Lineage: Eukaryota; Metazoa; Chordata; Mammalia; Rodentia; Cricetidae.